UCUGCGCUGCUCAGCAGGCCCGACCAGGGGCUGGGCUGGUGUUGGGGGCACAGGCUGAGGCUGGCCCCAGGACGAAGCGGUUCGGAGGGUGGCACGGGCAGGGCUGAUCCAUACCUGCACCCGCUCCCUCCUCAGUAAAAUCUGGAUAAAGUCUUGCAGCAUACUCUGAAGGUUAUCAAAUCUGGACUCAAGCAAACUAUAUGGGAAAGUGAAAUCCAGAGUCAAGGGCCCCACAUCAAGAACAACUACUGCUUUGGGUCUUGGCUGUUCACAACUGCUGCAGAAUCAUGUAAGGAGAGAGGCAAUGACACAGUUUCCAAAUGCAGCUAUUGCUAUCCAACACAUACUCCUCAGUUUUCAGUGAAAAUCUAGUAUUGUAUACAGUGUUCGAGGCUGGAAUGAUUGCUGGUAUUGGGAUUGAUUCACUCAGGUCCAAAGACUAGACUGUGGGACUGCAAAAAGCUAUUGUACUGUAGUGUCCUUCCAUCGAAGAGGUGGCUACCUCUUGGGCUGAGACCCUAGUGAGAAAGAUCUGCAAAGCUGCAGCUUGGUCCUCAGUGCUCACCUUCAUCGGUCAUUACAUACUAAGACUGGGAACACCAGCUGAUAACUUUUGGAAGGAGAAGCCUGCAAAGUGAGUAGGUGAUUCCAACCUAUAUCUGUUGGAGGUGGGAAGGAGUUCACAAACUCUCGGGAUGGAGAACGGCCCUGCCGAACCCGGCAUCCUCCCUGGUCUGAGAGACAAUUGCAUAACGCCAGGUGAACGUGUGAACUGAAGCCCACGUGGCAGCCCUACAAAUGUCCCUGUGAGAUGGGCCAACACCAGGUUUAGGUCCCACCCAGGACUGGGGGCCUAACAUACGGGAAGAGACGAUCCAACCCCUUAAGGAAUUGGCCAGUCAUAGCAUGGGAGAAUACUGUGUGGCCCUGCACCAGUGGAUGGAAGGCCGCCAGGUGCACCUUGACUGACGAGGGCGCCAGGCCCUUGGCUCUAAGGUGAAGGAGGUAGUCCAGAAUAAGCUGGAUCGGGGCGGCCACCAGGGAAAUGCCUCACUUGUCCACCCAUCUGGAAAACCAAGACCACUUUGCCAAGUAGGCUCGAUGCGUAGAGGGCUGCCUGCUUUCUAGGAGGACGCGCUGAACCCUUUCUGAGCACGUCCUUUCUGCCCUACCUAACCAUUGAGCAGCCACCCCGUGAGGUGGAGUGCCACUAGGUUGGGGUGGAGGAGGUGGUCCUGGUCCUGGGAGAGCAGGUCCUGGGAGAGCAGGUCCGGGCGGGACGGCAACGGCCACAGUGGGGCGACCGCCAGGUCCGUGAGGGUCCCGUACUAAUGCUGCCUGGGCCAUGCCGGGGCAAUCAGAAGGACCUGGGCCUUGUCCAUGUUUAUCUUUUCCAGGACCUUGCCAAUCAGCGUGAAUGGGGGAAAGGCAUAGAGAAACUGGCUUGACCAGGACAGGAGGAAGGCAUUGGAGAUAGCGCCCCACCCAGCCCCCCUCUGGAGCAGAACCAAGCAGAAUCGGUUCUGCCGAGUCGCGAACAGGUCCACCUGGGGAGUUCCCCACACUUGGAAAAGUCUGUGCACCACCUCUGGGUGGAGAGACCACUCGUCCUGAGAGGAGAAGUCCCUGCUCAAGCAAUCCGUCCGCACAUUCUGGAUUCCUGGCAGAUGGAAGGCCUGUAGGCAGAUGUCGUGGGCUAUACAAAAGUCCCACAGUCUGAGGGCUUUGUGGCAGAGGGCAGAGGAUUGGCGCCACCUUACCUGUUGAUGUAGAACAUCGAGGCCAUGUUGUCUGUGAGGACCCUGACCACCUGGCCCUCCAGGUGCGAGUGGAAGGCCAUGCACGCCAGUCAUACCGCUCUUAGCUCCUUGACGUUUAUGUGGAGGGUCAGAUCCUGAGCCCACCACAGAGCUUGGGUCUGAAUGUUCCCCACAUGGGCCCCCCAUCCCAGGUCCGACGCAUCGCACACCAGUUCCAGCGACGGGGUUCUGCCCCUGAACGGGACCCCUUGGAGCAUGUUUGUCAGGGAGGACCACCACUGUAGGGAGGUGAUCACUGGCUCAGGCACCAUGAGGACUUUGUCCAUCCUGUCUCUGGCCUGGGAGAACUCCGAGGCCAACCAGAGCUGGAGGGGCCUCAUCCUGAGUCUGGCGUGACGGACCAUUUACGUGCACGCCAACAUGUGACCCAAGAGCUGGAGGCACGCUCUGGCUGUUGUCACCGGAAACCUUGUGACCGUGUCGAUGAGCCUUUCAGGGUCUCGAACCUGUCCGGUGGGAGGGAGGCUCUGGCCAACAAGGCGUCCAGGACUGCCCCGAUAAACUCUAUGCGUUGUACCAGGACUAAUGUGGACUUGGUGCUGUUUACCAACAGGCUCAAAGUGGUGCACAUGGACAGAAAGAGCGCCACAUGAUACCACACCUGUGACCAGGAGCUGCCCUUGACCAACCAGUCGUCCAAAUAGGGGAAGAUCUGGACCCCCCUAGCGCCUGAGGUAGGCCGCCACCACUGACAUACAUUUUGUGAAUACCCUGGCGGCAGUGGACAGGCCAAAUGGGAGGACCGUAAAUUGGUAGUGUUCCUGCCCCACCGUGAAAUGGAGGAAGCCUCUGUGCCCCUUGAAUAUAUGAAUGUGGAAGUACACAUCCUGCAGAUUGAGGUCAGCGUACCAGUCCCCGGGAUCCAGGGAGGGGAUGAGAGAGGCCAGGGAGACCAUGCGGAACUUGAGAUUCACCAUGUACUGGUUCAGGCCUUGCAGGUCCAAGAUGGCUUGAGCCCCCGUUUGGCCUUCGGGAUAAGGAAAUAGUGGGAGUAGUACCCCUUGCCUUUGAACUCCCCGGGUACCGCUUCCACUGCUCCUAGGCCCAGGAGCCGCCCCACCUCCUACUCGAGCAGAGCCUCGUGUGUGGGGUCCCCCAGGAGGGAUGGGGACGGGGGGUGGUUGGGCGGGGAGGAAGUAAACUGGCGGGUGUAGUCCCGAGAGAUGGUGUUAAGGACCCAUCGGUCCGAGGUCAGCCGCGACCACUCCGUGAGGAAAGCACAUAACCGACUGGAGAAGGGAAGCUUUAUUGAGGGUGGAUCCCUGAUGAGAACUGGCAGGGCGCCCCCAGGCAUCCUGUCAAAACCGCCUUUUCCCUGCUUGCUUGCCCUUGGAGGACCCAGGCUUGGUGGGGGGGACAGGCCGAGACUGCCUCUGUGGGUGCCUCUUAUAGUCCCGCGACUUCUUAUAAGUGGUCUCGUAUUUUGAAUGGCUGGCCUGAGCAGGAGUCUGCUGUGGCUUGAACUUAGGUUUAGCUGGAGCCGGAACAUAGAGACCCAGAGUCUGGAGAGUCGUGCGGGAAUCUUUCAGGCCAUGCAACUUUGUACCCGUUUGUUCUGCAAACAGAGCUUUGCCGUCAAACGGAAGGUCCUGCAGGGAGGUCUGCGCCUCACUGGACAGCCCAGAGAGCAGGAGCCAUGACGCUCUUCUCAUGGACUCAUGGCCAUGUCCACUGCAUCCGAAGCUGCCUACAGGGUUGCCCUCUCCACCAGCGCUUUGAACUCCUUCCUGUCACGCUCUUGGAAUCCUCGAACUUGGACAGGGAGCCCCACAGAUUGAACUCAGACCAGCCCAGGAGAGCCUGGUGGUUCACCACCUGUAACUGGAAGCUC
This is a non-coding RNA of Chrysemys picta bellii (western painted turtle), 3651 nucleotides long. NCBI's taxonomy places the organism in Eukaryota, Metazoa, Chordata, Testudines, Emydidae. The record is from RefSeq and is a predicted model, not a curated record.